UACGUAGGGGGCAAGCGUUGUCCGGAUUUAUUGGGCGUAAAGCGCGUGUAGGUGGCCAAGUAGGUCCGCUGUGAAAACUUGAGGCUCAACCUCAAGCUGUCGGUGGAAACCCCUUGGCUAGAGUCCGGAAGAGGAGAGUGGAAUUCCUGGUGCAGCGGUGAAAUGCGCAGAUAUCAGGAAGAACACCAAUGGCGAAGGCAGCUCUCUGGGACGGUACUGACACUGAGACGCGAAAGCGUGGGGAGCGAACAGG
This 253-nucleotide ribosomal RNA is filed under the name uncultured bacterium. RNAcentral's name for it is "partial 16S ribosomal RNA". It matches the Rfam family "Bacterial small subunit ribosomal RNA", at positions 524 to 776 of the family's 1533-position model. The record is from RNAcentral.